This 253-nucleotide ribosomal RNA is filed under the name uncultured bacterium. RNAcentral describes it as "partial 16S ribosomal RNA". It matches the Rfam family "Bacterial small subunit ribosomal RNA", at positions 524 to 776 of the family's 1533-position model. The record is from RNAcentral.
UACGAAGGGGGCUAGCGUUGCUCGGAAUCACUGGGCGUAAAGGGUGCGUAGGCGGGUUUUUAAGCCAGAGGGGAAAUCCUGGAGCUCAACUCCAGAACUGCCUUUGAUACUGAAAGUCUUGAGUAUGGGAGAGGUGAGUGGAACUGCGAGUGUAGAGGUGAAAUUCGUAGAUAUUCGCAAGAACACCAGUGGCGAAGGCGGCUCACUGGCCCAUUACUGACGCUGAGGCACGAAAGCGUGGGGAGCAAACAGG